RNAcentral lists this ribosomal RNA (458 nucleotides) under uncultured Eubacteriales bacterium. Its description in RNAcentral is "bacterial SSU rRNA". It matches the Rfam family "Bacterial small subunit ribosomal RNA", at positions 921 to 1379 of the family's 1533-position model. The record is from RNAcentral. Lineage: Bacteria; Bacillati; Bacillota; Clostridia; Eubacteriales.
UUGCACAAGNCCGUGGAGCAUGUGGUUUAAUUCGAAGCAACGCGAAGAACCUUACCAAAUCUUGACAUCCCUCUGACAAACUGUGUAAAGCAGUCUUCUUCGGACAGAGGUGACAGGUGGUGCAUGGUUGUCGUCAGCUCGUGUCGUGAGAUGUUGGGUUAAGUCCCGCAACGAGCGCAACCCUUGUCUUUAGUAGCCAGCAUUUCGGAUGGGCACUCUAGAGAGACUGCCAGGGAUAACCUGGAGGAAGGUGGGGAUGACGUCAAAUCAUCAUGCCCCUUAUGAUUUGGGCUACACACGUGCUACAAUGGCGUAAACAAAGGGACGCGACCCUGUGAAGGCAAGCAAAUCCCAAAAAUAACGUCUCAGUUCGGAUUGUAGUCUGCAACUCGACUACAUGAAGCUGGAAUCGCUAGUAAUCGCGAAUCAGAAUGUCGCGGUGAAUACNUUCCCGGGCA